AUGGAACUGGAGGUUGGUCUCUGGCUCUCCAUAUUUGGAAGCAAAACAAGUCACUGCCAAUCACACAACCCUGACGGUCUGGUCACUCCGAAGGACAAAGCUAUAACUGGUGAACUCAGCAUGCACUGUCUGCAAUGCAGAAGAGAGCUCAAGAUACACUGUCUGCAAUGCAGAACUCAAGAUACACUGUCUGCAAUGCAGAACUCAAGACACACUGUCUGCAAUGCAGAACUCAAGAUACACUGUCUGCAAUGCAGAACUCAAGGUACACUGUCUGCAAUGCAGAACUCAAGAUACACUGUCUGCAAUGCAGAACUCAAGAUACACUGUCUGCACUGCAGUAGAGAACUCAGGAUGCAUUGUCUCAGUGCAGAAGAGAAGACAUUUCUAGUCUAGAACACUUUCUUCUGCCUUUUAAAAGCCCUCCUGAGUCUUUUAUAAGAUCCCUUCCCUACCUUAGGGAUAGUAUGUCACCCCUCCAACAAUUGUUUUCA
RNAcentral lists this long non-coding RNA (494 nucleotides) under Rattus norvegicus (Norway rat). RNAcentral's name for it is "long non-coding RNA NONRATT033674". The record is from RNAcentral. Lineage: Eukaryota; Metazoa; Chordata; Mammalia; Rodentia; Muridae.